Molecule: ribosomal RNA, 492 nt
Filed under: uncultured bacterium
Lineage: Bacteria
Description: partial 16S ribosomal RNA
Rfam family: Bacterial small subunit ribosomal RNA
Source: RNAcentral
AGUGAACGCUGGCGGUAGGUCUAACACAUGCAAGUCGAACGGCAGCACAGUAAGAGCUUGCUCUUACGGGUGGCGAGUGGCGGACGGGUGAGGAAUACAUCGGAAUCUACUUUUUCGUGGGGGAUAACGUAGGGAAACUUACGCUAAUACCGCAUACGACCUACGGGUGAAAGCAGGGGAUCUUCGGACCUUGCGCGAUUGAAUGAGCCGAUGUCGGAUUAGCUAGUUGGCGGGGUAAAGGCCCACCAAGGCGACGAUCCGUAGCUGGUCUGAGAGGAUGAUCAGCCACACUGGAACUGAGACACGGUCCAGACUCCUACGGGAGGCAGCAGUGGGGAAUAUUGGACAAUGGGCGCAAGCCUGAUCCAGCCAUACCGCGUGGGUGAAGAAGGCCUUCGGGUUGUAAAGCCCUUUUGUUGGGAAAGAAAAGCAGCAGGUUAAUACCCCGCUGUUCUGACGGUACACAAAGAAUAAGCACCGGCUAACUUCGUG